GAUAGAAAACGCUCUAAAGUUUCCAAAACUGUCAAAAUAUUGUCUGUGAGUAUAACAGAACUGAUUUUGCAGGCCAUUUUUUUUGAAAGCUCCCUGUUCCAUUGCAUGCCUUCCCUCCAUUUAAAGGGAUAUCAACCAUAUUCCUUUUCCUAUGGCUUCCACAUGGUCUGAACAGUCUUUAGACAUAGUUUCAGCCUUUUAUUCUGAAAAAUGAGCGAGAAAGAACAAAUCGCGUCAGUGGAUGGCUGGGUGCCAGCAGAGUUUUGCAUGUGCGAGCAGCUUGGAGCAUACAUUUUCUCUAUCUCUCCUAUUGAAAAAGCUUUGGUCCUGUUGAAAUAUUAUCAAUUAUUUAUUGAAAAAACAACUUGAGGGUUGAUUAUAAAAAAAUGUUUGACAUGUUUCUACGAACUUUACGGAUACUAUUUGGAAUUUUCGUCUGCCCCGUCGUGACUGCUCGAGCCUGUGGAUUUCUGAACAUAACGCGCCAACCAAAUGGAGGUUUUUGGAUUUUAAAAUAAUCUUUAUGGAACAAAAGGAACAUUUACUGUGUAACUGGGAAUCUCGUGAGUGCAAACAUCCGAAGAUCAUCAAAGGUAAGCGAUUCAUUUUAUUGCUUUUCUGACUUUCGUGACCAAUCUACUUUGCUGCUAGAUGUGUGUAAUGUUUUGUCUGCUGAAAGAGAUGUCCUUACAUAAACGCUUGGUUUGCUUUUUUGAAAUCUGACAUGCCAGGUGGAUUAACAACAAGCUACGCUGUGUUUUGCUAUAUUGCACUUGUGCAAUAUUUGUAGUAAUUUAUUUUGAAUUCGGCGCUCUGCAAUUCAGCGGAUGUUGACAAAUUAUCCCGCUAAAGGGAUCGGUGCGUCAAGAAGUGUUAACACAGGUGGACACUUCUGAUGACGUCUGACGAGUAUACACUUACAGGGCGAGGGAGGAAGGAAAGAUUUUUAAAUGGGCCACCCUUGGCCAGAAAUUCAUCACCCGUUGAUCCCGAGAUGAUUGUUUUUUCAACUACCGCCUCAGAAGUGCAGAUAGUUGGAUAUCCAUUCCCUGAUGGCAGUGACCCGCAUAUAGACUCCUGGGAAAGCAGUCCGUCCGCAGCCAUGUCCCCAGCUAGUUACCCCGGCAACAAACCACUGGCCAGAGAAUUCACGACAUGUCAAGGGGCCACCAGAAUCUCCCUGCGUUUCAGAAACGGAGACCUCGGUUGACAACUUUGUUAGAGAAUUGAAAAUACAAGGCAAUAAGUACAUCCCAAAUGUGCAUUGGUCCUGGGAAGAUGGCUUUAGAGCAUAAGAACAAAAACAAUUCACCUGAUUUAAACGUUUGUCACCAUAAAUGUACUUUUGAGAACUGA
Long non-coding RNA from Oncorhynchus keta (chum salmon), 1356 nucleotides. RefSeq lists it as uncharacterized. Lineage: Eukaryota; Metazoa; Chordata; Actinopteri; Salmoniformes; Salmonidae. The transcript has 2 exons. The record is from RefSeq and is a predicted model, not a curated record.